UACGGGGGGAGCAAGCGUUGUUCGGAUUUACUGGGCGUAAAGGGCGCGUAGGCGGCCUCUGCAAGUCGACUGUGAAAUCCCCGGGCUCAACCCGGGAACUGCGUCCGAUACUGAAAGGCUUGAAUCCGGGAGAGGGAUGCGGAAUUCCAGGUGUAGCGGUGAAAUGCGUAGAUAUCUGGAGGAACACCGGUGGCGAAGGCGGCAUCCUGGACCGGCAUUGACGCUGAGGCGCGAAAGCCAGGGGAGCAAACGGG
Molecule: ribosomal RNA, 254 nt
Filed under: uncultured prokaryote
Description: partial 16S ribosomal RNA
Rfam family: Bacterial small subunit ribosomal RNA
Source: RNAcentral